RNAcentral lists this ribosomal RNA (492 nucleotides) under uncultured bacterium. Its description in RNAcentral is "partial 16S ribosomal RNA". It matches the Rfam family "Bacterial small subunit ribosomal RNA", at positions 29 to 507 of the family's 1533-position model. The record is from RNAcentral.
AGUGAACGCUGGCGGUAGGCCUAACACAUGCAAGUCGAACGGCAGCACAGUAAGAGCUUGCUCUUACGGGUGGCGAGUGGCGGACGGGUGAGGAAUACAUCGGAAUCUACUUUUUCGUGGGGGAUAACGUAGGGAAACUUACGCUAAUACCGCAUACGACCUACGGGUGAAAGCAGGGGAUCUUCGGACCUUGCGCGAUUGAAUGAGCCGAUGUCGGAUUAGCUAGUUGGCGGGGUAAAGGCCCACCAAGGCGACGAUCCGUAGCUGGUCUGAGAGGAUGAUCAGCCACACUGGAACUGAGACACGGUCCAGACUCCUACGGGAGGCAGCAGUGGGGAAUAUUGGACAAUGGGCGCAAGCCUGAUCCAGCCAUACCGCGUGGGUGAAGAAGGCCUUCGGGUUGUAAAGCCCUUUUGUUGGGAACGAAAAGCAGCAGGUUAAUACCCCGCUGUCCUGACGGUACCCAAAGAAUAAGCACCGGCUAACUUCGUG